This 467-nucleotide ribosomal RNA is filed under the name uncultured bacterium. RNAcentral's name for it is "partial 16S ribosomal RNA". It matches the Rfam family "Bacterial small subunit ribosomal RNA", at positions 28 to 507 of the family's 1533-position model. The record is from RNAcentral.
GACGAACGCUGGCGGCGUGCUUAACACAUGCAAGUCGAACGGAAAGGCCCUGCUUUUGUGGGGUGCUCGAGUGGCGAACGGGUGAGUAACACGUGAGUAACCUGCCCUUGACUUUGGGAUAACUUCAGGAAACUGGGGCUAAUACCGGAUAGGAGCUCCUGCUGCAUGGGGGGGGUGGGAAAGUUCGGCGGUUGGGGAUGGACUCGCGGCUUAUCAGCUUGUUGGUGGGGUAGUGGCUUACCAAGGCUUUGACGGGUAGCCGGCCUGAGAGGGUGACCGGCCACAUUGGGACUGAGAUACGGCCCAGACUCCUACGGGAGGCAGCAGUGGGGAAUAUUGCACAAUGGGCGGAAGCCUGAUGCAGCAACGCCGCGUGCGGGAUGACGGCCUUCGGGUUGUAAACCGCUUUCGCCUGUGACGAAGCGUGAGUGACGGUAAUGGGUAAAGAAGCACCGGCUAACUACGUG